UACGUAGGGUGCCAGCGUUAAUCGGAAUUACUGGGCGUAAAGCGUGCGCAGGCGGUGAUGUAAGACAGAUGUGAAAUCCCCGGGCUCAACCUGGGAACUGCAUUUGUGACUGCAUCGCUGGAGUGCGGCAGAGGGGGAUGGAAUUCCGCGUGUAGCAGUGAAAUGCGUAGAUAUGCGGAGGAACACCGAUGGCGAAGGCAAUCCCCUGGGCCUGCACUGACGCUCAUGCACGAAAGCGUGGGGAGCAAACAGG
RNAcentral lists this ribosomal RNA (253 nucleotides) under uncultured bacterium. Its description in RNAcentral is "partial 16S ribosomal RNA". It matches the Rfam family "Bacterial small subunit ribosomal RNA", at positions 524 to 776 of the family's 1533-position model. The record is from RNAcentral.